AGACAGAGCUACAACCAGUGAGGGACAAAAGUGAGGCAGCUGCUGAAGAGUGCCUCCUUUGUUAAUGAGAGACACAAAAAAUAAGGGAGAAUAGGAUAGGCUCUGCUAGAAAAUGCAAAGAGGAAGAUAGAGGAGGGACAAACUUGCAUGGAGUAGGAACAUCUGGCCUGGACCUGGGAGGGUAAAGAAAGCUGAAAGGCUGAAUUGGUUUGAUCUAGAGAGGCAGUUAUGCAUAAGAGCAACCACUCUCUAUUGAAUUAGGAGAUCUCUCAUGCAACACAUCUCACCAAUUACAAGGUUUCCUGUGGAAGCCAAAGGAGGGCCUCGAUCCCCUGUAACUGGAGUCCCAGAUUCAAAUCCUUGAAGAAGAGAGAACUCAUGCUGAGCCACUUGUUUUGCAUCCCAAAAAGGACUCAGGAGGACUGUACAUCUAUUUAGUGACAGAAUUUUCCAUGCUCAAUAAAUUCUGCUGCUUG
RNAcentral lists this long non-coding RNA (476 nucleotides) under Mus caroli (Ryukyu mouse). Its description in RNAcentral is "predicted gene 12665 (MGP_CAROLIEiJ_G0004707.1)". Lineage: Eukaryota; Metazoa; Chordata; Mammalia; Rodentia; Muridae. The record is from RNAcentral.